AAAUUGAAGAGUUUGAUCAUGGCUCAGAUUGAACGCUGGCGGCAGGCCUAACACAUGCAAGUCGAACGGUAACAGGAAGCAGCUUGCUGCUUCGCUGACGAGUGGCGGACGGGUGAGUAAUGUCUGGGAAACUGCCUGAUGGAGGGGGAUAACUACUGGAAACGGUGGCUAAUACCGCAUAACGUCGCAAGACCAAAGAGGGGGACCUUCGGGCCU
This 216-nucleotide ribosomal RNA is filed under the name Salmonella enterica subsp. enterica serovar Senftenberg. RNAcentral's name for it is "partial 16S ribosomal RNA". It matches the Rfam family "Bacterial small subunit ribosomal RNA", at positions 1 to 215 of the family's 1533-position model. Lineage: Bacteria; Pseudomonadati; Pseudomonadota; Gammaproteobacteria; Enterobacterales; Enterobacteriaceae. The record is from RNAcentral. RNAcentral also lists the same sequence under 10 other names.